AGUAACACGUGGGUAACCUGCCUUAUGAGGGGGGAUAACAGAGAGAAAUCACUGCUAAUACCGCAUAAGCACACAGUACCGCAUGGUACAGGGUGAAAAGAUUUAUCGCCAUAAGAUGGACCCGCGUCUGAUUAGCCAGUUGGCAGGGUAAAAGCCUACCAAAGCAACGAUCAGUAGCCGAUCUGAGAGGAUGACCGGCCACAUUGGGACUGAGACACGGCCCAA
This 225-nucleotide ribosomal RNA is filed under the name uncultured bacterium. RNAcentral describes it as "partial 16S ribosomal RNA". It matches the Rfam family "Bacterial small subunit ribosomal RNA", at positions 109 to 334 of the family's 1533-position model. The record is from RNAcentral.